AUUGAACGCUGGCGGCAGGCCUAACACAUGCAAGUCGAGCGGAUGAAGGGAGCUUGCUCCUGGAUUCAGCGGCGGACGGGUGAGUAAUGCCUAGGAAUCUGCCUGGUAGUGGGGGAUAACGUCCGGAAACGGGCGCUAAUACCGCAUACGUCCUGAGGGAGAAAGUGGGGGAUCUUCGGACCUCACGCUAUCAGAUGAGCCUAGGUCGGAUUAGCUAGUUGGUGGGGUAAAGGCCUACCAAGGCGACGAUCCGUAACUGGUCUGAGAGGAUGAUCAGUCACACUGGAACUGAGACACGGUCCAGACUCCUACGGGAGGCAGCAGUGGGGAAUAUUGGACAAAGGGCGAAAGCCUGAUCCAGCCAUGCCGCGUGUGUAAAGAAGGUCUUCGGAUUGUAAAGCACUUUAAGUUGGGAGGAAGGGCAGUAAGUUAAUACCUUGCUGUUUUGACGUUACCAACAGAAUAAGCACCGGCUAACUUCGUG
This 484-nucleotide ribosomal RNA is filed under the name uncultured bacterium. RNAcentral's name for it is "partial 16S ribosomal RNA". It matches the Rfam family "Bacterial small subunit ribosomal RNA", at positions 30 to 507 of the family's 1533-position model. The record is from RNAcentral.